RNAcentral lists this long non-coding RNA (574 nucleotides) under Arachis ipaensis. RNAcentral's name for it is "long non-coding RNA (AIPA_LNC002361)". Lineage: Eukaryota; Viridiplantae; Streptophyta; Magnoliopsida; Fabales; Fabaceae. The record is from RNAcentral.
GACUAGUUAAAUUUAUUCUCGUGCUCAAACACGUCUAAUAAUUCUAUACAAAUAUUUCUCGUGUUACAGAAAAUAAUGAGAAAUCAAAUUAUGUCCACUUCUCUUAUUGUUUUAUUUGUUGUUCUCUUCCUUGCUUAUGGUAUGUACUACUAAGUAGCAUUGCUGAUCAUCUAUCCAUUCAUGAUUCAUCCUUGUCAUGUGUUGUAGAAAUUUUUUUUUGAUAACAAAUAAUCCUGUUUUAUUGUUGCAGAUGGUGGGUUAGUAGAGGCACAACGUCUAACUAAAUGUCAAGCGAAAGAACCUAUUGAUGUAUGCACUAUUCCGCAUUGUUCUUCAAUAUGUGAUCAAAAGUAUUCAAGUAACUUGGGGGUUGCAAGUGGCCAGUGCUUAAGUAGUACAGUCUGCAAUUGUAUUUACAGCAGCGUCAACCCAGAUUGCCAUGCCAAAGAUCAUUUGAUUUGAUACAAUCAUUAUUAUGCCUUCUUCAGCUCCUUAUGUAUUAUAAUAAAAAAUCCAUAGCUCUCUACGCCACAGUUUUGUAUUAUUAGAAGGAUUUAAUAAAAGAGCACAUGCA